RNAcentral lists this microRNA precursor (90 nucleotides) under Canis lupus familiaris (dog). Its description in RNAcentral is "mir-8799 microRNA precursor family". It matches the Rfam family "mir-8799 microRNA precursor family". Lineage: Eukaryota; Metazoa; Chordata; Mammalia; Carnivora; Canidae. The record is from Rfam by way of RNAcentral.
AGGGGGAGGCCGGAUCCUGGGCUGUGUCCCCGGCGCCCAGUGCUCCCGGCCUGCGCUGUUGGAUUAGCGCUCCUGGCCGGGCUGCUCCCG